Molecule: ribosomal RNA, 496 nt
Filed under: uncultured crenarchaeote
Lineage: Archaea; Thermoproteati; Thermoproteota
Description: bacterial SSU rRNA
Rfam family: Archaeal small subunit ribosomal RNA
Source: RNAcentral
UUCCGGUUGAUCCUGCCGGACCCGAUCGCUAUAGGGGUAGGGUUAAGCCAUGGGAGUCGUACGCUCUCGGGAAGAGGGCGUGGCGGACGGCUGAGUAACACGUGGCUAACCUAACCUUGGGUCUCGGAUAACCCCGGGAAACUGGGGCUAAUCCGGGGCAGAUAAGGAGAUCUGGAACGACUCCUUAUCUAAAGGCCUCUCGGCUGAUCCCGUCGAGAGGUGCCCAAGGAUGGGGCUGCGGCCCAUCAGGCUGUUGGGGGAGUAAAGGUCCCCCAAACCUAUAACGGGUAGGGGCCGUGGGAGCGGGAGCCCCCAGUUGGGCACUGAGACAAGGGCCCAGGCCCUACGGGGCGCACCAGGCGCGGAACGUCCCCAAUGUGGGAAACCGUGAGGGCGUUACCCCUAGUGCCCUCGCAAGAGGGCUUUUCUCCACUCCAGAAAGGUGGAGGAAUAAGCGGGGGGCAAGACUGGUGUCAGCCGCCGCGGUAAUACCAGC